RNAcentral lists this long non-coding RNA (334 nucleotides) under Phascolarctos cinereus (koala). RNAcentral's name for it is "lncRNA (ENSPCIG00000014707.2)". Lineage: Eukaryota; Metazoa; Chordata; Mammalia; Diprotodontia; Phascolarctidae. The record is from RNAcentral.
AGCCAAGCAGGCUAUGGCUGCGCUAAGUCUCCACAAUUUGUGGAGUCAUUUCCACCAGCCUGUAUUGUGUUCCUGGUUUCCACUGAUUUAUCCCUCUGUUGGCCCUUCCAGACUUCAGGUGGAAGACAACUGGGAAAUGAAGUCACUUCAUAACAACCUGAGAAAGUGCCCCAAAGUCAUUGAAAUACACAGAACACUUUUCCCAAGAACUAGGGAUCCAGUAACUGGAUACUUUCACCAAGAAGACAAGUCUUCUUCUGUUUCUCUCUAUGACUCUGCUGACAAUCCUCACCUGGUUGCAGACAGACAGGAAGACUUGCUUCCAGAAUGAAGG